AACGAACGCUGGCGGCAUGCCUAACACAUGCAAGUCGAACGAGACCUUCGGGUCUAGUGGCGCACGGGUGCGUAACGCGUGGGAACCUGCCCUUAGGUUCGGAGUAACUCCCCGAAAGGGGUGCUAAUACCGGAUAAUGUCUUCGGACCAAAGAUUUAUCGCCUUUGGAUGGGCCCGCGUUGGAUUAGCUAGUUGGUAGGGUAAAAGCCUACCAAGGCGACGAUCCAUAGCUGGUCUGAGAGGAUGAUCAGCCACACUGGGACUGAGACACGGCCCAGACUCCUACGGGAGGCAGCAGUGGGGAAUAUUGGACAAUGGGCGAAAGCCUGAUCCAGCAAUGCCGUGUGAGUGAUGAAGGCCUUAGGGUUGUAAAGCUCUUUUACCCGGGAUGAUAAUGACAGUACCGGGAGAAUAAGCUCCGGCUAACUCCGUG
Molecule: ribosomal RNA, 433 nt
Filed under: uncultured bacterium
Lineage: Bacteria
Description: partial 16S ribosomal RNA
Rfam family: Bacterial small subunit ribosomal RNA
Source: RNAcentral